This 427-nucleotide unclassified non-coding RNA is filed under the name Hevea brasiliensis (rubber tree). The record is from RNAcentral. Lineage: Eukaryota; Viridiplantae; Streptophyta; Magnoliopsida; Malpighiales; Euphorbiaceae.
GGGUACUCACUCUAUCAACUUAAUCUUUUAGACGAGACAUAUCACACAAUUCAAAAACUUACCUUUUCAAGCCGGUCACCCAACCAUAAAGGUGGCCUAGAGAAUCCCCACAGUUAGGCUCGAACCUAAAACGCAGAGGUAUUUUGCACAGCCUUAACCGCUGAAAUUUCAACCCUUAUUGUAUCAAGGUUGUUCAUCGGUUACUAUAUAUUUAAAAAAGAAAUUGAUAUUUAGUAAAAAAAAAUUCAACGAAGGUUGUUCAUGUGACCAACUUUGCCAUGUCAUAGCUCCGCCCCUAGACAAUACCUUGACAGUUGUGCCAUUACAAACUCAAAAGACAAAAGAAAAAAGAAAAAACACUAACACAAACCGUACUCGCUCUAACAACUUAAUCUUUUAAACGAGACAACGAUCACACAAAAUCAAG